GUUGGAGGACGCGACUGUUGAGGACAUCCAGAAGUAUCUGAAGAAACAGAGGCUUGAGGCCAUCGACUGGUUGGAGGACAACAGGGACAACAUGAAGCAGGGAGUUGAUGACUUUGUGGACAAGGCCCUGGCAGAUCUGGCCAAAGAACCUACUGCUGAGGAAAUAGCUGCUCUGGAGAAGGAUCUGGAGAACUUCGAUGCGGCAGCUUUCAAGGAGAAACAGUCCAAGAGCAAGCAGGUG
This is a long non-coding RNA of Synchiropus splendidus (mandarinfish), 241 nucleotides long. RefSeq lists it as uncharacterized. The transcript is spliced from 3 exons. The record is from RefSeq and is a predicted model, not a curated record. NCBI's taxonomy places the organism in Eukaryota, Metazoa, Chordata, Actinopteri, Syngnathiformes, Callionymidae.